UUUAAGCAUAUAAGUAAGCGGAGGAAGAGAAACUAAAUAGGAUUCCCUCAGUAAUGGCGAACGAACAGGGAAGAGCUCAGAUUGGAUAUCGGGGCCUGUGGCUCCGAAUUGUAGUCUCGAAAUGCAAUGCCAUCGGGGGCGCAGAUUUAAGCCUCUUGGAAGAGAGCGCCGGCGAGGGUGAGAGUCCCGUUCGUCAAUUUGCAGUCCUCCGUACACGGCUUGCACUUGUUGAGUCACGUUCCUCGGGAUUGGAGCGCAAAUAGGGUGGUAAAUUUCAUCUAAAGCUAAAUAUAUGUUUGAGACCGAUAGCACACAAGUACCAUGAGGGAAAGAUGAAAAGGACUUUGAAAAGAGAGUUAAAAGUGCCUGAAAUUGCUGCAAGGGAAGCGGAUGGAACCAGUCCACGCGGUGAGAUUGUUGGGCGGAGGCGUGCGGGGUUGCACUUUCAACGAAAGUGGGGGUGUGAGUCUCAAUCGCCUUUCGCCUGAUGGUUCUUGCCGUGGGGGUCAUUGGUGAUUGGCAGCCGGGGAAACCUUCAAAGGCAUGGUAGCCCGUCUCCGGAUGGGUGAACGCGUUUGAUAGCACUCGGCCGCUGAUCAUAUCCGAGGUGUCCGGUAACUGGCGGCCUUGAGCGCAACGCGAGAACCAAUCGGUUCUUGCUGCGCGUUCGGCCGUAGGUCCUGACACACAUCUACGACCAAAUGGUUCUUUCCGACCCGUCUUGAAACACGGACCAAGGAGUCUAGCAUAUGUGCGAGUGCUUGGGCUGCAAACCCGUGCGCGCAACGAAAGUGACUGCUGGGAUGUUUGCACCAGCAACCGACUGAUCAAUUGCGAGACGUUUGAGUGUGAGCAUAUCUGCUAGGACCCGAAAGAUGGUGAACUAUGCCUGUGAAGAGCGAACCCAGGGGAAACUCUGGUGGAGGCUCGUAGCGAUACUGACGUGCAAAUCGUUCGUCAUACAUGGGUAUAGGGGCGAAAGACUAAUCGAACCAUCUAGUAGCUGGUUCCCUCCGAAGUUUCCCUCAGGAUAGCUGGAGUUGAUCAGUUUUAUCAGGUAAAGCGAAUGAUUAGAGGAAUUGGGGGCGCGUUGUCUUCGACCUAUUCUCAAACUUUAAAUGGGUAAGAUCGAUUAGUUACUUAAUUGAACUUUUCGGACAAAUGUCAACUCCAAGUGGGCCGUUUUUGGUAAGCAGGACUGGCGAUGAGGGAUGAACCUAACGUUCGGAUAAAGUGCUUAACUGCUCGCUCAUCAGAUACCAUAAAGGGUGUUGGUUCAUUUUAACAGCAGGACGGUGGUCAUGGAAGUCGAAAUCCGCUAAGGAGUGUGUAACAACUCACCUGCCGAAUGGACUAGCCCCGAAAAUGGAUGGCGCUUAAGCGGGCGACUGAUACCGAACCAUUGUUGCAAUUAUGCUGCAUCAAUGAGUAGGAGGGCAUUGAGGUUGUGGUGAAGCUCUUGGGGUAAUCCUGAGUGAAACAGCCUCUAGUGCAGAUCUUGGUGGU
Molecule: ribosomal RNA, 1506 nt
Filed under: Margalefidinium polykrikoides
Lineage: Eukaryota; Dinophyceae; Gymnodiniales; Gymnodiniaceae
Description: partial 28S ribosomal RNA
Rfam family: Eukaryotic large subunit ribosomal RNA
Source: RNAcentral